UUUGGGUUUUUUUUUUUUUUUUUUUUUAAUCAUUCAGUGUAAGUUGAGGACCGACUGCAGACUGGCUCCCUCUCCUCUCCUCAUACUCGACUCGACAGUUCUACUUUGUCCCGCUAAGAUCCACAGGGCACAAUCAUGGAGGAAAUGGACUUUGAGCGACGCCGGGAGCUGAGGAGGCAGAAGCGGGAGGAAAUGCGUCUGGAGGCCGAACGGUUGGCGAGGAAUGACGAUGAUGAGGAGGAGGCGGCCCGCGAGAGGAGGCGCAGGGCACGCCAGGAGAGGCUGAUGAGCAAGGAGACUGAGGAGCCCAGCGGACAGCCAGACAGUCUGGUCAUGACCAACAGCCACAGUGUCACAGAGACUGUGAGCAGCUCUUAUGGAGGAGGCGGCGGUGACGACGAUGACCAAGCCCUGCAGGAGCGCAUGGCCAAACGCGAGGAGAGACGGCAGAGACGCAUGAAGGAGGCGCUGGAGAGACAGAGGCAGCUGGACCCGACCGUGACCGAGGGCAACGACAGCGUCGCCACGGAGAAAAACAACGCAGAAGAGGAGAGGCCAUCCUCCUGGCGCAGGGGUCGUUACCGUGACAAUGAGGACGAAGAGGAGAAGACAGAGACGUACGGCUCAAGCAGAGGGGAGAAGGAGCGAGAGGAGCCGAGGGAGGAAGAAGAGGCUGCUCCUGAGGGGGGAGAGGAAGAAGAGGAGGGGGUAGAUGGAGAGGAGGAGCAGAAAGUGGAAGUGGUGGAGGACAAACCGAGAAGGUCUUACUUGAGAGAACAGGAAUCAACUGAAGAACCUAGCGAGGAACUCGCUGAAGAAGAAGAAACACAUUCAGUAGUCAGUGAGAGUUCAAACAAGGCCAAGUCAACAAACUCAGAGGAUGCUGAGGAGGAUGUAGUAGCACCUGAGGAGGUACCUGAGGAUGAUUAUGUAGAUUACGAGUCUAUGACACUCAGAAAUGACACUGAAGAGGACAAUGAGGUAGCUGAGAUACUGCACUCACAGGAUAAUGAGGUGGACGAGAGAGGCAGGGCCAGAGAGGAGAGGGAGGAGCAGGGGAAGCAGAACGGAGGGCUGUACGAAGAGGAGGCGGCUCCCAAACAGCACAGGAAACCUGAGAGGACCCUCAGUCGCGGCAGCGUACGUUCCCCCGAGGUGUCCGCGGGUGACGACCAGGACGACGCUGCCCGCCUGGAGGCAGAGCGCAAGCUGGAGGAGCUGAAGCGCCGCCGCGACGACGCGGAGAGCGAGGAGUUCGAGAGGAUGAGGCAGAAGCAGCAAGAGGCCGAAGCCGAGCUGGAGGAGCUGAAGAGAAAGAGGGAGGAGAGGAGGAAGGUGCUGGAGGAGGAGGAGAGGCAGAAGAAGCAGGAGGAGGCGGAGAGGAAAGCCAGAGAGGAGGAGGAGAAGAGGAAGAUGAAGGAGGAAAUUGAAAGGAGGAGAGCAGAGGCAGCUGAGAAGAGACAGAAGGUGGAAGACACUAUGGACGGGGAGGACAGACCCUUCAAGUGUGUCAGCCCUCGAGGCUCCUCUCUGAAGAUUGGAGAGAGGGCAGAGUUCCUGAACAAGUCGGCACAGAAAAGCAGCUCAGUGAAGAUGUCUCAUUCUCCUGUGGUGUCCAAGAUAGACAACAGGCUGGAGCAGUACACCUCGGCUGCUCAGCAGAGAGAGAACAAGGAGUCUCGAUCCCCUCGCUCCGGAGCGGUUGAUCUGCCCAUGGUCACCGACAGCAUACGAAGCAUCAAGAGCAUGUGGGAGAAAGGCAACGUGUUCAGCUCACCUGGAAGUGGUGGGAGCACGUUCAAGGAAGCAGCUGUGAUGAAGACAGGCGUGGCGGGCCGCAUCAACGACUGGCUGAAUAAAACCCCUGAGAGCGGCAAAACGUCAGGAGGAAGGCCAGCGGACCUGAAGCCUGUUGACGUCACCAACAAGAGGAGUCUAUGGGAAAACAAAGGCGCCUCUCCAACCAAGAACUCUCAUAGCUAGUUGACCUCACCGUUAAAUCUGGAAUAAGCCUGGAGAGGUGGCAGGCAGAGGGGAGACCAAAUCAGUCGCCAACGGUAUGGGACACUAGUGUCUUGAAGGAGCCACUUAAAACAGCUGGGGACCACGACAAUCCAAGACUCUUCCUUUGACUUUGUCUUAAGAACCAAAUAAUGAUCACAUUCCCGAGAGGGACCCCACGAAAAAAAACGGACGGACAGGAGAGACGCUGUCCAAAGCACUGUACCGAAAACAGCAUCAUAUUUUUGUACGGUUGCCACGUAUAGUGCCUUUGCACAAUGAUUUUUUUUUUUGCUUUCUAAAAGAAACAAAAUGCUGUGAAAUUUGGACAUUUGUAAUUGCUAUUACUAAUUACUUAAUCCUGCUAGGAAGACGGAAGAAAAACACAAAUUAAAUUUAUCUGUUGUCCUCCGUGUCGACAGUAUUGAUAGAGACAGAGCAGACGAGUUCAAAGUAUCCACAUUCCAAAGAGAUGGGUGAAAUCAGUUCUCUCUCCCUCGUUACAGUACAUUUUCCAUCUCUUCUUUUUUUAUUUAUAUUUAAAGCAAAAGCUUCACACAUUGCUAUUUUAUUCAACGUUCACCAGUUCAGGAUAGAAAUAUAAGCACUUCUAGAAUUUAGCUGAUUUCACUUUUAUUAUGUCUUUACCAAUAGUGCAGCAACGGUCUGAGUAAUAUAUGUUAGCACAUGUGAUGUUCGAAUAUCAUACUGUAUCUUAUAUAACAUCUUUAUACUCAUAACAAAAGGUAUUUUUUGCUUCUUUUUUUUUUUUUUUUUUUUUUUGUAUCCAGAAACUAUUCACCAACAGGCAGUUAAUUUGGGUGGUGAUAUGAGUGUUGAAUAUUCAGAAGGCCAUUAUGACUUUUAUUAUCCUUUUUAUGUCAUUUUAUUUAUGUUCUAAUGUGUUUUGUCCUUUUUCUAUUUCUAGCUGGGGGGAGGGGUUUGUAGCUUUUUGUACCUUUUUUUGAUCACUUUAAUAUCUUCAGACAUUCCUCUUCAAAAGCAGGUGCACGACAUGCCUUCGCUGCUUCAACGCUGUAGGUUUUAUAACGUAGGAAAUCGGCAAACCGACUCUCUUUUAACGUCUUUGUUUCCUCUAUGCACAUUCUUACGCUCAGAGAUAAUUUUCUAAUUGAGGGCAUGCAAAGUAAAAACCAGGGUGCCUAAGCAUAUAGCAAGAUACUCGUACAAUACAAGGAUAUUUACCACUAUGUAAUUCUUCUGGCCUUAUGAUUGCAAUGAAAACAUUUAUGACAGCUGAGGUACAGUACAUGAUAGCCUCAAAGCAACAGUAUGAUGAUAUUAAGACUUGUGAUGUUUCUUUUUCACUGAUGUAGUCUUAAGUAGCACAUUCCCUUUCAUAGUUUUUGCACGACGCAAGCUUUGAUUAUAUUGUGACGGUUUUCCGGGGCAUUAAAUUGAUCGUUACUGCUCAAAAGUCUGACAAUCACAUUCCAUCGCUCCUGAAAAGAGCAGGGGAGCUCGACCAAAAUACUUUUAAGCGUGAUUUAAUGUGACAUUUAUGUUUUUUGUUUUGUUUUUUUAAUACAGUGGAUUCAUAAUGUCUUUUUUUUUUUUUUUUUUUUUUUUUAAAAAAGUGGAUUUAAAAUUUUUUUUUUUUUUUUUUUUUUUUUUUUACAACCUUGUGUCCAAUUUAUGUUUUUUUUUAUUUCCAUGUUUAACCAGACACUUGUUGUUUGUGUAGCGCUACGCCUAUGCAAAACACACUCUCUGUAGUCUCUCUAAACACUCCCAAUGUCAUACAAGUGGGCAGUUUUCCAACUGGAUGAAUGUUUUAAACAUUGUACCCUUGAUUCAACAACAGCAAUAAAGACAUUGAGGUAUUCCA
Molecule: RNA transcript, 3850 nt
Organism: Larimichthys crocea (large yellow croaker)
Lineage: Eukaryota; Metazoa; Chordata; Actinopteri; Sciaenidae
Gene: cald1a
Gene name: caldesmon 1a
Exons: 17
Source: RefSeq, a predicted model, not a curated record